Lolium rigidum is the source of this 418-nucleotide long non-coding RNA. RefSeq lists it as uncharacterized. The transcript has 3 exons. Lineage: Eukaryota; Viridiplantae; Streptophyta; Magnoliopsida; Poales; Poaceae. The record is from RefSeq and is a predicted model, not a curated record.
GGUCCUCGGUGGCUGCUCACACCACCUAUCCCACGAGUUCCGCAGCAAAGUGGAGUUGCCGCCAUUUUUCGGCCAAGCCUUGGAUGAGCAGGACUUCCUCCAUCCGGACCAGCAUCACAAUCAAGAGGCUCAAAAUAGUGGUGGGGCGGAGGUACGCCAAGAGGCGCAUCUAGAGUAAGAUAAGAGCUCUUUUGGAGGAGACAUGUCAGGGCCGGCAUGAUUCUGGAGCAUGACCUACUUCAGAUGGUGAACCACAACUCUUUAUCACGAUGAUACUUACGCAACAGAGUUUGGCAUCAAGUUCAAUGAUUAUUGAGCGUUGGUCCAGGCAUGGGGUUUACCUGCUACUUGGUACAAUGAGACCGGUAGAGAGAAGGAUUGCUUGGCAGAGUUGGCCAAUGGAAUAUGAUGAACAAGG